RNAcentral lists this ribosomal RNA (305 nucleotides) under uncultured bacterium. RNAcentral's name for it is "bacterial SSU rRNA". It matches the Rfam family "Bacterial small subunit ribosomal RNA", at positions 333 to 655 of the family's 1533-position model. The record is from RNAcentral.
ACGUACCUACGGGGGGCAGCAGUCGAGAAUCAUACACAAUGGGGGAAACCCUGAUGCAGCGACGCCGCGUGAGUGAAGAAGUAUUUCGGUACGUAAAGCUCUAUCAGCAGGGAAGAAAAUGACGGUACCUGACUAAGAAGCCCCGGCUAACUACGUGCCAGCAGCCGCGGUAAUACGUAGGGGGCAAGCGUUAUCCGGAUUUACUGGGUGUAAAGGGAGCGUAGACGGCAGCGCAAGUCUGGAGUGAAAUGCCGGGGCCCAACCCCGGAACUGCUUUGGAAACUGUGCAGCUCGAGUGCAGGAGG